Megalobrama amblycephala (Wuchang bream) is the source of this 1785-nucleotide long non-coding RNA. RefSeq lists it as uncharacterized. The record is from RefSeq and is a predicted model, not a curated record. The transcript is spliced from 2 exons. Lineage: Eukaryota; Metazoa; Chordata; Actinopteri; Cypriniformes; Xenocyprididae.
UUUACAGUAUGAUUAAAACUACUGUAGUUAUUUUUACGGUAAUUUUACUGUGGUAUUAAAUACAGUAACUACUGGAUAAUUGUUGCCAGUAAGUUACUGUUAAUUUGACAAUAAACAUUUUACAGUGCACCUUACUUUUAUACAUCCAGUGUCUCUGCCCUUCUGUGAUUGUAACAGUAGAUCAUUUUAAACAUAUGUCAAACGUCAAACACAUUAAUAAUUUCUUCAUGAACACAUUAAAGUACCGGACUUUUCAAAGCAUGUUAACAAUGAGAAAUCAAGUACUAAAUUGUGGCAUUGGGAGUCGCGGCGACAAGGGGUAGGUCCAAACGCAGGCUUUAUUAGAAUGAGCGUAGUCGUACAGGCAGGGGUCAAACAACAGCAAACAGAAAUAUAAGGGCAAGGCAGAAGAGUAAUCCAAGUCACAGGCAAUGGUCAAGACAGGCAGCAAACGAUCAUCAAACAAGGGAUAAACAUUCCAGUGUCAAAAACAAGGCAAGUCUAGGAACUAGGAACAAGGAAUAACACGGAGACAAUGUUGGAUAAAGGCUAAACAAUACUCAAGCAAAGUGUGUGUGUUUGGGUGCAGCUUAUAAAAUGUCACUGAUGGGAAACAGGUGUGUGUGUGUGUGAUUGGUUCCUAGAUGGGGAAUUGUGGGAAAUGUAGUCCAGAGUGAUGUGUGACUGUGUGCAAUGAAAAGGUGACCUAUGGUGGGGAGUAGCAGGAAACAGCAGGCAAAGGAUAUGUGACAUAAAUAAAUCAAACUGUUUUUAUAGUAAACCAGAAAUUAUGUGCAUAAUGGUGUUUGUGAGUCCUGAUGUCCUGUUAUGUUCCCGAUGGUGUUCAUCAGGACUCAUGAACAAGUCAUGUGACACUAGAUUAAACAAUGUUCAUAUGAAAUGUUCAGAAUUAUUGAUUCAUUAAUUUAAAGCUGCAGGUUUUUCUGUGAAUCAUGAUGAUUGAGCUUCAUAUGAAGAACAGAAGAUCAUUAUGAGAAACUCCACAACAUCAUCCAUGAUAAAAGAGGUCAAAGGUCACCUCAGAGGUCACAGAUCAUCAAAAAUAUUUCUAUUAACAGUGUUAUAUCAGACAUCAUUUCAUCCAAACUGAAUGUUUGAGUGUUGAGAAGAUGUGAGUUUCUUCUAAUAUCAGUGUGUUGAAGUGUUGUUUCUCUCUCUCUGCUGGAGUUUGUGUUCACUCGAGUGGAAUAGAGGUUUUUGUACGACCGUUUCAUUAGAUUGUAUCACUGUGGUGCACAUUCGGUGGAGGAACUAAACUGAUCGUCAAAUCUGGUCCCACAGUGAAGCCCUCAGUGUCUCUGCUGCCGCCCUCUUCUCUGCAGAUCUCUGGAGACUCAGCCGCACUGCUCUGCCUGCUCAGCUCUUACUCUCCACAGGGGGCGCUGGUGAGCUGGACACUGGACGGGUCAGAGGUCACCGAGGGGGUCGUGACCAGCGCAGAGAGCCAGCGGGACGGCCGCUACAGCCGCAGUAGCGUCCUGACCCUCAGCAAAGCACGCUGGGAAGAGGGAGAGGUGUACGUGUGCAGAGUAACACAUGAUGGAGCUCCUCAUGAGGUCUCGUUCCACAAGAGCUCUGAGUGCUGAUGUUUCUCUCCUGAAGAUGAGCCGUAUCUGAGUGUCCUGUGUCAGGCAGGAUUCACAUGAGUCUAGUGCUGCAGCUGUAGUGAUUUACAACUCAAUACUGAAAGAGAGCUGGCGUGUCAAAGCACUGUGUGAUCUUUCAAUCUGCUGUAACAUUCAAUAAAGCUUCUCAACAAGUUCA